GUUGAGGUCUACCCAAUGGGGCUUUUUCUGUAGACUGACAUCAUUGGAAAUGCCUUGCUGAGUAACUAUCUGGUUUGCUUUACUCACAGAACUAUUUGUUAGAUCCGUGGGAAAGAACUACAAGACAGAG
Small nucleolar RNA from Equus asinus (donkey), 130 nucleotides. The record is from Ensembl. NCBI's taxonomy places the organism in Eukaryota, Metazoa, Chordata, Mammalia, Perissodactyla, Equidae.